UGCGUCGCACCCCCCGCCUGUUCCUGAGAUUCAGCGCUCUGGGUGUGGGAACGCAGCACGUGCACUGGGGGCCUGGAGAUCAUUGGCUUCAGAGCUGGAAGGAAACUUAGAGGUCAUUUCGUCCAAUUCCCGCAUUUUUUUUGGGGGGGGGGAACCUGUUCGAUCCCCCUAGUAACCGGGACUGGGAACCCCUAGCAACAUGGACCGUGAAGAAGGUUCAGCGUGACUGCGUCACCUGGAUUGUGUCUCUAGGGGCAGAGAACAGCAAAAUGGGGAGGGACCUGGGAGAUCACCCGGUCCGAACCUCUGUUAAGUAACAGAGGAGGGAACCGAGAUCCUUGAUCUAUCAUCAUCUUUGGAGAGAUGGGUUGGUGUGAGGCUUGUGCCUUGGAUUAAAGUCCUUCAGAAAUGGGAAUGAAUGGAGACUGGACCUGUGGGAUCAUUAGAGGAGAGAAUACUUACGAUUCAAGGCCAUGGCUUGGAUGACCAGGCUGAGAGGUGCGUGCUGCAGAGGACACCCGAUCAGGAUUUAGCACAAAGAGGAUUGGAACCAAGGCCUGGACAACUGACUUACCAAGCCCUGCCCAGAUGCCACUGUCCACUCGGUGAGUUAGAGGCCCUGUGCCAAGGAGGAGCCAAAGAAACUCAAAUAUUGGCUUAGAAACUGCCAAAGUUCUCUUCCCUGACGCCCCGCCCUCCUUCCCCCGGAGUCCGGGUUUCCGUGAGCGCGGCCUGG
This 736-nucleotide long non-coding RNA is filed under the name Phascolarctos cinereus (koala). RNAcentral's name for it is "lncRNA (ENSPCIG00000026752.2)". Lineage: Eukaryota; Metazoa; Chordata; Mammalia; Diprotodontia; Phascolarctidae. The record is from RNAcentral.